RNAcentral lists this ribosomal RNA (369 nucleotides) under Bacteroidetes bacterium oral taxon 272. RNAcentral describes it as "bacterial SSU rRNA". It matches the Rfam family "Bacterial small subunit ribosomal RNA", at positions 28 to 388 of the family's 1533-position model. Lineage: Bacteria; Pseudomonadati; Bacteroidota. The record is from RNAcentral.
GAUGAACGCUAGCUACAGGCUUAACACAUGCAAGUCGUGGGGCAUCAUGAUGUAGUAAUACAUUGAUGGCGACCGGCGCGCGGGUGAGUAACGCGUAUCCAACCUACCCUCCACUCAAGUAUAGGCUUCCGAAAGGGAGAUUAAUCCUUGAUAUCGUCAUUCUCUCUCCUGUUAGAAUGAUAAAAGGACAUCGUUUCGGUAGAGGAUGGGGAUGCGUUCCAUUAGGUAGUAGGCGGUUUAACAGGCCACCUAGCCGAUGAUGGAUAGGGGUUCUGAGAGGAAUAUCCCCCACACUGGUACUGAGAUACGGACCAGACUCCUACGGGAGGCAGCAGUGAGGAAUAUUGGUCAAUGGGCGCAAGCCUGAAC